CUACGGGGUGCAGCAGUGAGGAAUUUUGCGCAAUGGGCGAAAGCCUGACGCGGCAACGCCGCGUGAGUGAUGAAGGCCUUCGGGUCGUAAAGCUCUGUCAAGUGGGAAGAACCUAUGUAAUGUUAAUAUCAUUAUAUACUGACGGUACCACUGAAGGAAGCACCGGCUAACUCCGUGCCAGCAGCCGCGGUAAUACGGGGGGUGCAAGCGUUAUUCGGAAUCAUUGGGCGUAAAGGGCACGUAGGCGGCCUGGUAAGUCAGAUGUGAAAGCCCGGGGCUUAACCCCGGAAGUGCAUUUGAUACUGUCAGGCUUGAGUAUGGGAGAGGGAAGUGGAAUUCCUGGUGUAGAGGUGAAAUUCGUAGAUAUCAGGAGGAACACCGGUGGCGAAGGCGACUUCCCGGACCAAUACUGACGCUGAGGUGCGAAGGCGUGGGUAGCAAACAGGAUUAGAUACCAGUAGUC
Molecule: ribosomal RNA, 463 nt
Filed under: uncultured bacterium
Lineage: Bacteria
Description: partial 16S ribosomal RNA
Rfam family: Bacterial small subunit ribosomal RNA
Source: RNAcentral